RNAcentral lists this long non-coding RNA (520 nucleotides) under Homo sapiens (human). RNAcentral's name for it is "HSALNT0186001". The record is from RNAcentral. Lineage: Eukaryota; Metazoa; Chordata; Mammalia; Primates; Hominidae.
AGACGUGAAUGCUUCCUGUGCUGACGGGAGGAACAAGCUCGCCUAGCCAAAAUAUCUUUUGUCUUUGAGGCUAUGGGCCUGCAAAGAGCCACUAGGUUUUAUUGGAGAGGCCAAAGUCUUGGCCUUGGCUUGCUCCCCGCAAGCCAGGGCGCCACAGAUCAGCGGAUCGGGUCCUCUGCGAAGACGUGGAGGUCCCCCGGGUCUCUUUGUAAAUGAGUCCAGAGACUAAAGUCAGAAUGGCAGCUUAUUCUUAUAUACCUGAAUUGUGGACCCAUGCUUUUUGAAACAAAAAGAGUGUUUCAAGUGUUUUGUUUUAAUUAAAAAUUACUUUCUCCUAAUUCAUCGAGGUCAUUUCAUUUUUACCUGAACAUUUUCAGUAACACAGUUAACACCGAUACGUGAUGUAAUGUUGAACGCUUGCUUUUUAAAAUAAACAUUUUAUGUGGAUUCAUUUACAUUUAAAGUAAAGCAAAUUUACCUUCUCACUAUCCGAAUAAAGAUUUGACUUCAUUGAAAUAAC